CCUCCUCGUACCUGCGCACUGAACUGGGAAUGGCACACGGGACACAAGUGGGAUUGGGUGCAUUUGUAUCAGAUUACUUUUACGAGUACGAGUACACACACUGAGUAUCGGAGCCGAUGCAUCCCUAGUAUUUUGACGUGUUGUCAUUGUUUACCAUUUAAGUGCCAGUAUUUUAGGGAUAACCUGAAUGGUUGAUGGUCCAACACUAUGGAUAGUCAAACUGAUGCUUUCUCUGUCUGCUGUGAGUACGGGAGUCUGUUGAUACUGAAGUCAGAUCAUAUCUGACCUGGUGUUUGGUUCUGCACACAAAUCCACAGGUUGUGAAGGUCUAGGCUUAUACUGAUAAAGAACCGUUGGCCCUCAUCUGUACCAACGUUAUUUUCUUUCAAGGCCUUCAUCACAAUGUCUGUGAAUGGGCACAAAUUAAAUCCUGCAAAUUGAAGGAAACAGCCAUGAAUACAACAUCAAAUAAAUAUCAGUCGGUGGCAAAAUAUCUGUGAAUUGAAAGGAACUUUUCUUUACAAACAACCGAUGUGUGUUGAUGAGGGCUGAUAUCUGCUCUUUUAUCUGAGUAAAUUCCAGCCUGUCAACAUGUCGACUCACACAGACUAAUGUUGUGCACUAUUAAUACUGUAUUAAUAAUAAUAAUAAUAAUAAUAAUAAUGAUAAUAAUAAUAAUAAUAAUAAUAAUAAUAAUAAUGAUGAUGAUGACUCACUAGAUGCAGGUUGUUAAGCAGGAGAAGAACUGUUAAAGUCUUGUGUAAAAUUUCACACUUACCAGUCAGAACUUUUUAAAAGCCUUUUCAAAGGAAGACUAAUGCACCCUAGUUUUUCUGCACCAGUGGAAAUAAAUGAAACCCUGCUAACUGCAUGUGCAUUCAUUAUAUACCACAGAACUAAACAUGGAACGACAUCAGACUUCUUUGUCCUAAUGUGAUGCAAAGGCUACAGGGAACUCUAAUGUGGAUAAUAGAUGGACAAGCUUUUACAAUUUAAUAUCCUGGUGUAAUAGGGUAUAUAUUAAAAACUGUUUCUAAAAUCUCAUCACAAAACCAAUGACAGAAGUAAGAUUUAAAUAAAAUAAAGAAACAGAUCUGUCUUUCAUCUGAUUUGUAGAUAAAUCACAGAAUGUUGUCUUCAUUCAUCUGGUCUCCAGAGCUGCUGCUGUGCUCAUCCUCAGUUUAUCUCUCAGAUUCAGUAAAGGUGAUCCAUAAACACCAGACGUGGACGCUGUGAGGCACAGAUGUGGGACAGGUUUUCAUCUGGAAAUUGUCUGACAUGACGUCGCAGUAGGACUCAGCCGUACUGACUCUACUGAUGAUCUAUGCUUUGAUCCUGUGGGUUUAUUCUGAACUAGGAAAGACCACUUUCACUUUUUGUGAACCAAACACAUGUAGCAGUGUUUAGUGUCAGCAUGGACACUGGCACUACCUUUGGACGUUUUAAAGUCCGCUGUCAGACCACGCCCCCUCAGUCUGCAGCUGUCCUCACUGUCGUUUUACUGGGUUGUAAAAAUGUUUGGCAUUUUUUGUCUAUACAUGUUUCUGUAUCACAGAACGAAGGGAACCUCAAUGAUUUUUUGAGGCUCAAAUAAAAGUGUAAAUGAAUAAAUGAAG
Sphaeramia orbicularis (orbiculate cardinalfish) is the source of this 1616-nucleotide long non-coding RNA. RefSeq lists it as uncharacterized. NCBI's taxonomy places the organism in Eukaryota, Metazoa, Chordata, Actinopteri, Kurtiformes, Apogonidae. The transcript has 2 exons. The record is from RefSeq and is a predicted model, not a curated record.